GCAAGUGUGAAAGACAAAUUCGUCAACUAUUGAAAAUAUUAAAGCAUGGAAUUCUUCUUCAUCCCAACCAACCAUCCAAAGUCUAUUAAAAUCUAUGCUUCUCCCUGCUUCCAGUGAUGAAGAAUGGUUUCCCAGGAAAGUUGGUGGUAAUUGCAGCACUAAUGCUUCUUCUUUUGGCGGAUCUCCGAGCAACUUGUGCAUUAGUUCCUCAUGGUGGUGAUCAUCAUUAGAGUUUGAUAUCGCAUGUUGACAAUAAAGAUGGCACGAGAAAGGUCACAAAAGAAGGUUGCUUUGGAUGUCAAAAUGAGAUGUUUAGCAAGACUACUGCUAUAAUAUUGCCCAUCCGACGCAGCCUGAGACCAAUCAACCUGCCAAAGCCACCUUCACCCACAAGAAGUGGAUUACACAGCCAGUUUGUUCCGGCACCGCCAGACCUGUCCGUUGAUGUUUAGUUGAGAAAUCAUAUGAUGCUCUUCUUCCAAUAAUAAGUCAGUAGGUUAAGUGAUUUGAAUUUGAGAUACUCUUCUUCCAUUAAUAAGUCAAUAGGUUAAGUGAUUUGAAUUUGAAGGUUUUUAAUCUAAAGUGUAAUCGUAUCAAAGUGAACAAUCUUUGGUUAGGCAUUGCUUCUUGAUGUGUUUCAGUGAUUUGAUUUGGAUGGUGGAUAUUCCAAAGCGAACAAUAUUUGAUGUUGUAAAAACUCAAUCCAAGAUAUACAAUACGGAAUAAAUUCA
Non-coding RNA from Malus domestica (apple), 731 nucleotides. The record is from RefSeq and is a predicted model, not a curated record. NCBI's taxonomy places the organism in Eukaryota, Viridiplantae, Streptophyta, Magnoliopsida, Rosales, Rosaceae.